This 1308-nucleotide long non-coding RNA is filed under the name Taeniopygia guttata (zebra finch). RNAcentral's name for it is "lncRNA (ENSTGUG00000027946.1)". The record is from RNAcentral. Lineage: Eukaryota; Metazoa; Chordata; Aves; Passeriformes; Estrildidae.
GGCGGGAGCCGGGCCCAAAUUAUCCCAAAUUCACCCCAAAAUCAGCCCCAAAUUACCCCGAAAUUAUCCCAAAAUCAGCACGAAAUUAUCCCAAAGUCACCUCAAAAGUAUCCCAAAGUCACCCCAAAUUCACCCCAAAAUCACCCCAAAAUCAUCCCAAAAUUCAUCCCAAAAUCAGCCAGAAAUUAUCCCAAAUUCACCCCAAAAUCAGCCCCAAAUUACCCCAAAAUUGUCCCAAAAUCGCCCCAAAAUAAGCCCGAAAUUCAUCCAAAAUCAGCCCGAAAUUAUCCCAAAAUCAGCCCGAAAUUAUCCCAAAAUCACCCCAAAAUCAUCCCGAAAUUACCCCAAAAUUGUCCCAAAUUCACCCCAAAUUCACUUCAAAAUCACCCCAAAAUUAUCCCAAAAUCAGCCCAAAAUUAUCCCAAAGUCACCCCAAAAUCAGCCCAAAAUUCACCCCGAACAUCAUCCAAAAUCAGUCCAAAAGUCAUUCAAAAAUCAUCCCAAAAUUAUCCCAAAUUCACCUCAAAAUUCAUCCAAAAUUAUCCCAAAAUUAUCCCAAAGUCUCCCCGAAAUUAUCCCAAAGUCAUCCCAAAAUCACCCCGAAAUUAUCCCGAAAUUACCCCAAAAUUGUCCCAAAUUCACCCCAAAAUCAUCCCAAAAUUAUCCCAAAUUCACUCUAAAAUUCACUCAAAGUCAUCCCAACAUUAUCCCAAAUUCACCCCAAAAUUAUCCCCAAAUCGGCCCAAAUUCAUCCCAAAUUCACCCCGAAAUUCAUCCAAAAUCACCCCAAAAUUAUCUCAAAGUCACCCAAAAAUCAGCACAAAAUUCAUCCAAAUUCACCCCAAAAUCCAUCCAAAGCCACCCCAAAAUUGGCCCAAAAUCAUCCCCAAAAUCAGCCCAAAAUUCACCCAAAAUUCACUCCAAAAUUGGCCCAAAAUCAGCCCAAAAUUCACCCAAAAUUUCCUGGGAUUCCCCCUGAAAAUUCACCCAAAAUACCCCAAAAAUCCCCCAAAAUUCACAUUUCACAUUUACCCAAAAUUCACAUUUCAAAUUUACCCAAAAUUCACCCCAAAAUCCCCCAAAAUCCGGGUCCCAAAAUUCCUCAUUUUUUGGAGCCCCAAAAUCGUCAUUUUUGGAGGAAAUUCCCCAAAUUUCCCCUCCCUGGGGGAACCCAAAUUUGCCUUUUUCCCCUUUUUUCCCUUUUUUUCCCUUUUCCCAAUUUUUUGUAAUUUUUGCCCUUUUUUGCCUUUUUUUGAUUUUUUGGGGUUUUUUUUUCUGUCAUUUUUGUCCUUUUUUGUCAUUUUUUGA